This 1059-nucleotide ribosomal RNA is filed under the name Triticum aestivum (bread wheat). Its description in RNAcentral is "partial small subunit ribosomal RNA". The record is from RNAcentral. Lineage: Eukaryota; Viridiplantae; Streptophyta; Magnoliopsida; Poales; Poaceae.
AUGGAGGAAGUGGCGGCGGCGGCCAUGGCAGUUCCCCUCCCGGACGACCUGCUCCUCGAGAUCCUCGUCCGCAUGAAGGACGACGCUGCUCUCUUUCGCUGUGCCACGACGUGCAAACAGUGGCGCCGUCUCGUUGCUGAUCCCGGCUUCCUACGGCCCUGCUGGCCAGAAGACCACUCGUCGUCCUCUUUUGUCGGUUUCUACACCCGCAUCCGGGGACGUCGCCACAGAGAUGGCGACCCAGAUCCUUCAUCCGUGGUGGCGCCGUGCUUUAUCCCAGGACCAAGAUCGACUCUGGGUCCUGAUGGGGGCUACCUCACCUCCUUCUUGUCCACUGCCCCCGCCGGUCUCUUCGACGGCGCGUUGCUGCUCCUUUCGCACCGUGGCCUUGUCCUCGUGCGCCUAUUCAAAGCUCGUGAUACGCCAGGCUAUGCCGACCCGACCAUCCUCCAACUAGCGGUAUGUAACCUGCUGGCCGACACGUGCGACAUGCUCCCUCCGUUGAAGUUUUGCUCGGCCUUCAACGACUACAUGUGGAAUGGCUAUGCCAUUCUAACAAGCACCGACUGUCCCUCUGAAGAUGAGCCCUUGCUACCUGUGCUGCUGAUCAACCCGUCAUUCUUCAAAGUGGUAAUCAUCGGCUCCAGUCGUGACGACCUGAUGUACACUCUUCAUGUUUUCUCGUCUGACAAGGCAAGCUGGAGCGUGCGGAGCAACUGCUUCAACACUAACGCGCAAUCGCAUCGGUAUGGGUCAUUUAGCGAUGCCAUUGUAUGCCGUGGCAUGCCAUAUUGGGUGUUUUAUUAUUACGAAUGCUUCCACCUCAUUAAUAUGAACGGAAGGACUGGCCACAUCUCCUGCACGAAGCUCCAUUCUGGAGCAGGCUUCCACUACUUGAGUCAACCAUGCCUUACUCUAACCGUCAAUGGGACGCUAUCAUUGCUCUGGAUGCGUAAGGGAGAUUCCCGACUUGAGAUAUGGGAACACAACCAGGACCAUGCAAACCUGGGUAAUACUUCAAAGUGGUUACCUAGUGUCCUAGUCGGACAAUCAAGCUAA